CAGUAGCCGCGGUAACACGGAGGGUGCAAGCGUUAAUCGGAAUUACUGGGCGUAAAGCGCACGCAGGCGGUCUGACAAGUCAGAUGUGAAAUCCCCGGGCUUAACCUGGGAACUGCAUUUGAAACUGUCAGGCUGGAGUCUUGUAGAGGGGGGUGGAAUUCCAGGUGUAGCGGUGAAAUGCGUAGAGAUCUGGAGGAAUACCGGUGGCGAAGGCGGCCCCCUGGACAAAGAUUGACGCUCAGGUGCGAAAGCGUGGGGAGCAAACAGGAUUAGAGACCCCUGUAGUCCCUGUCUCUUAUAC
RNAcentral lists this ribosomal RNA (301 nucleotides) under uncultured bacterium. RNAcentral's name for it is "partial 16S ribosomal RNA". It matches the Rfam family "Bacterial small subunit ribosomal RNA", at positions 509 to 807 of the family's 1533-position model. The record is from RNAcentral.